GCCCCUAUAAAAUAAUACUCAAACUCCUAAAAUCAAAUAGACAUGGACCUAGACCUAGACCAAAAGGAGAACAACAGUCUCAUAAAAACGAAAGAGAAGUCAUCUUUAUAUGAUUUAUCAAUCUUUUGUGCAUGAAAGAAUAAGUCUUCCGCAAGCCAGCAGUUCUAAAGCACACCAGUUGCCUUUCAUUUCCCAAAUACUUCAUUCUCGCAUCAAAUUUGGUUAACCAGAAAUUUCAUGGCGUGUUCAAUUUAUCGUGGUAUUUGGGAAAUGAAAAUUUUCAUUCGAAUUACCAUCAAAUGCAUCGGUUAUCUACAGCAAUCGGAAUCCCAGGACUAAACUACAGACCAAUUCUUUCUCGAUUUGGUCUUCAAUUCCAAAUACGGAAUUCACAUUUUGAUUGCUUUAGGUAUUUCAGAUUCUCUCGCGAUACAUUCACACACAAAUGGAGGGUAGCAACAGUGAGAGAACCAGAGUAAGAGGGAGCGGACAAAUUUUAGUAUAAAAACCCAAAUGAACAGUAGCUUCGAGUAUGGGUUUUGAUUUUUCCGGCCUCGAUUCGAGGUUCUGGUUCGCAAUUUUUGUAUUUUAGUCCAAGGAUUGUUACUUUGUUUAGCCCGAUUGAUUGGUAAAUUUCAGCUUUGUUCACCAGUAAAAGGUUCAUUUCUUAAUUUUCAAUCGCAUUUCAUUGUAUUAUGAUAGUUUGGUGCAUGUGUCGGUUGAUUUGUGAUUCUACGUUAUUCGUGUGUCAUGUCUUAGUUUUCAUUUAAAUUUUUUUAAUUAGUUUUCAUUUCAAUUGUGAUGUAUGUAGUCUUGGUUCUUGAAUAAAUACUUUUAAUUGAGUAGAUGGAAAAAUUAGAGUUGUUUCUUUUUUGACAGGAAUAAGAGUAGGCCAUAAGAUGAGUUUUGGACCAUAAGGAAUCUGGCUAAGUAAUAUAUCAUGUUAGCUAGCCUUUUUUCCCUAAUAAUAUCUUGUUCAUAAAUUUGGCCUCACAACAAUCUCAGAUUAGCUUUUAGGAAAAUAAACAAUUGAUGAACAUUGUAGCUGACUUUAGGCACGGCUUAAUAAAUUGUGAUUGUCUAUACAUUCGCGUGACAUAAUUACGAUCCUUAAAUAAAAUAGGGGUAUGCAUUCCACAACUUCGACCAAAAUUUCUUAAUAAUAAUAAAGCGUGAUUAUUUAUGAACACGUACGUAUGGCAUAUUCAUGACGCGCUAAACGAAAUGAGUACACAUACACGUGACUCAUUUUUUAAGAUAACUCCUUAAUUACUAAUAAUCAAGUAUUUAGAAGCGGUUAAAAGGGGUAUAUGCACAUAGUUUUAAGAAUAAGUUAUUAAAAUGAUUCAUUAAGCCAGUUAUGAUCAAAGUGACAGUGCUAAAACUAUGGAACUAGGGAAUGCCUAACAUCUUCUCCCGGGUUAACAGAAUUCUUUACCCGAAUUUCUGUGUUCGCAGACCAUAAAUAAGAGUCAAACUUCCUCGAUUCGAGAUUUUAAAUUGGUGACUUGGGACACCAUAAAUUAUCCCACGUGGCGACUCUGAAUCUGAAUAAAUAAUUCCGUUUUGGUUAUUGUCACUUUAAUUGGAAAACUCCCUUACCCCCCUCGGGUAAAAAGGAGGUGUGACAUCGGGCAUGCAUAUGAGUUUUUGAUUCAUGUCGUAGCCUUCAUUUGUACUUACCAUUUAGUUUUAUCCUGAUUUUGUAAGUAACAGAGAUAUAUGACUCUGUAUUGUGGUUAUGUGCCUGAAAACCAUGUAAAAAUAUAAGUUAUUUGUGUGUCUUAAUCCUUGUAUCCAUUUGAUAAUAUCAUGUCAUUUUCACUUGCUUAUUAUACUGCUAAUGAAUAUAAGCGGCGAUCGCUCGUUACUACUUCUUCGCGGCUAUAUUUGAUACUUAUUAAGUAACGUGAUUUUGUACUCAUAUUAUACUUCUACAAAUUUUAUGCAGAUUUUGAGGCUGAUACUAGUAUACUCAUCCAACUGCUUAGUGACUUACAUUUGGAAACUUCGCAGU
Molecule: long non-coding RNA, 2017 nt
Filed under: Nicotiana benthamiana
Lineage: Eukaryota; Viridiplantae; Streptophyta; Magnoliopsida; Solanales; Solanaceae
Description: long non-coding RNA (NBEN_LNC031203)
Source: RNAcentral